CGGUUAAGUUAUUAAGGGCGCAUGGUGAAUGCCUUGGCACUAGGAGCCGAUGAAGGACGGGACUAACACCGAUAUGCCUCGGGGAGCUGUAAGUAAGCUUUGAUCCGGGGAUUUCCGAAUGGGGGAACCCAACUUGUUAUGCAAGUUAUCGUUUAGUGAAUCUAUAGCUAAGCGAAGGUAGACGUUGUGAACUGAAACAUCUCAUUAGCAACAGGAGAAGAAAGAAAAAUCGAUUCCGUCAGUAGCGGCGAGCGAACACGGAGGAGCCCAAACCAGAGUGCUUGCACUUUGGGGUUGUAGGACUGCCGUUGUGGAGUUACAAAUUUGUUUAUUAGCAGAAUC
RNAcentral lists this ribosomal RNA (342 nucleotides) under Weissella paramesenteroides. Its description in RNAcentral is "partial 23S ribosomal RNA". It matches the Rfam family "Bacterial large subunit ribosomal RNA", at positions 1 to 339 of the family's 2925-position model. The record is from RNAcentral. Lineage: Bacteria; Bacillati; Bacillota; Bacilli; Lactobacillales; Lactobacillaceae.